GACGAGGGGUCCAAGCGUUGUCCGGAAUUAUUGGGCGUAAAGGGCUCGUAGGCGGUUUGUCGCGUCGGGAGUGAAAUCCACUGGCUUAACUGGUGGCUUGCUUUCGAUACGGGCAGACUGGAGGUAUGCAGGGGAGAACGGAAUUCCUGGUGUAGCGGUGAAAUGCGCAGAUAUCAGGAGGAACACCGGUGGCGAAGGCGGUUCUCUGGGCAUGUCCUGACGCUGAGGAGCGAAAGUGUGGGGAGCGAACAGG
This 253-nucleotide ribosomal RNA is filed under the name uncultured bacterium. Its description in RNAcentral is "partial 16S ribosomal RNA". It matches the Rfam family "Bacterial small subunit ribosomal RNA", at positions 524 to 776 of the family's 1533-position model. The record is from RNAcentral.